Ornithorhynchus anatinus (platypus) is the source of this 1320-nucleotide long non-coding RNA. RefSeq lists it as uncharacterized. The record is from RefSeq and is a predicted model, not a curated record. The transcript has 2 exons. Lineage: Eukaryota; Metazoa; Chordata; Mammalia; Monotremata; Ornithorhynchidae.
UCCCUGUGAAAACAAGUAGAAUUAAGGAGAUGAGGAGGAAAAUACUCCUCCUCUGGGCUUGAUACUGAUGACCAUUUUGCUUUUUUUAUCUUUUCAAGUAAGAUGAAAGGAAACCUUCCUGUACAAGGGAAGCCAUUAUCUAUGGUCUAACAAUCUCUCUUCCCUUGCCAGUUUCUGGCUACUGGUCAACCCCCAUGACACACAAAAAAUGUUGCCCAGUGAUCUUGAAUCACAUGAAAUACGGCAUAACUAACCAGAAUAUUACAUUUGCAGGGUCCGGAAUUGGUGUUCCCCAUGAUACAGCCAGGUUAGAUGCCUUGAAAAUGUGGCACAUUUGCCCAAACAUAAAAGUAAUUCAUUAGUUCCAGAACCAGCCCUGACCUGACAACCAGGCCCUAGAGAGAACAGCUCUGGACCUGUCAGCUCCUCUCCUGGCUCUCUGGCUCUCCUCUCAGAACUCGUGGGGUAAGUAAGGGGAGGGAGGUUGUCUCUCCCCAGAGAACUCAUGCAGUCCGGGGGGCGAGGUGCCGAGGCAUAUGCAGCUAGGGAGAAAAGGUUGGAGCCAGAAAGCACUGAAACAAAAGUUAAAUCAAGUCAGCUCCCCUGCCACGUAGGGCAGGGGAGAGGAUGGUCAGGACCUGGGUGUCCAGCCUUCAGAAGGUCCAGCUGACAGGUCCCUGACCACCAUCCACCCCCCCCCCCCCAGCGAUGGUGGCUUGGGCCUGUCACCCUGGCACAUCGCUAGCUUAAAAAAAAAAUACACUGGAGUUUGAGGGAAGAAAAACUAUCCAGAAACCAGGAGGAAACAGAACAGAGCUAAGGCACUGUGGUACUGGCCUGUAGGAGGGGAGGAGUACACCAGCAAUUAGUGCAUGCCAUAGCCCCAGGUUGUGGUGAGAGAGACAAUAAUCUUAGCCUUGGGCCUAGUUAUAUAAAAUAAUUGGCUUUUUGAGGUCAGGGAUUGUGUCUCCUAGCUCUCAAGCUCUCUUGUGAUCUUAGUACAAUGCCCUGCAGGUAGGAGGCUUUCAAUAAAUAUUAUUGAUUGUAAAACACUUGGGGAAGUCAGCUUCAAGAGUGACUGAAUCCUUUAAAAGGCAUUUUAGCACACAGAGACUUAUCUUCCCUGAGUGAACAUUCUGUCAUAGGGAAUAAAUGUCUCCAGGGGAUUUUUUUUUUUAUUAAAAAAAAGGCAGUCUUACCAGUAGCAGAGAUGGCUUUGUAAUGCAAAUAAAUAUUCAUUAAAACUUUCGAUGGGUUUUUCCUGCAGGACGUAGUCAAUGCGCCGGCCCCCGUUCAGCAUGCCCACGUUGAUAGGUGCAA